RNAcentral lists this ribosomal RNA (529 nucleotides) under uncultured bacterium. RNAcentral's name for it is "bacterial SSU rRNA". It matches the Rfam family "Bacterial small subunit ribosomal RNA", at positions 61 to 584 of the family's 1533-position model. The record is from RNAcentral.
GUCUGAACGGCAGCGCGGACUUCGGUCUGGCGGCGAGUGGCGAACGGGUGAGUAAUACAUCGGAACGUGCCCUGUUGUGGGGGAUAACUAGUCGAAAGAUUAGCUAAUACCGCAUACGACCUGAGGGUGAAAGCGGGGGACCGUAAGGCCUCGCGCAAUAGGAGCGGCCGAUGUCUGAUUAGCUAGUUGGUGGGGUAAAGGCCCACCAAGGCGACGAUCAGUAGCUGGUCUGAGAGGACGAUCAGCCACACUGGGACUGAGACACGGCCCAGACUCCUACGGGAGGCAGCAGUGGGGAAUUUUGGACAAUGGGGGCAACCCUGAUCCAGCAAUGCCGCGUGUGUGAAGAAGGCCUUCGGGUUGUAAAGCACUUUUGUCCGGAAAGAAAUCGCUCUGGCUAAUACCUGGGGUGGAUGACGGUACCGGAAGAAUAAGCACCGGCUAACUACGUGCCAGCAGCCGCGGUAAUACGUAGGGUGCGAGCGUUAAUCGGAAUUACUGGGCGUAAAGCGUGCGCAGGCGGUUUUGU